CCUACGGGGGGCAGCAGUGGGGAAUAUUGCACAAUGGGGGAAACCCUGAUGCAGCGAUGCCGCGUGGAGGAAGAAGGUUUUCGGAUUGUAAACUCCUUUUAUCAGGGACGAUUAUGACUGUAGCUGAAGAAAAAGCUCCGGCUAAAAACGUGACAGCAGCCGAGGUAAUACGUAGGUAGCGAGCGUUGUCCGGACUUACUGGGUGUAACGGGAGCGGAGGCGGGACGGAAAGUCAGAUGUGAAAACUGAGGGCUACAAUUUCAGAGUGCAUUUGAAACUGCUGUUCUUGGGUGAAGUAGGGGGAAGCGGAAUUCGUAGUGUAGCGGUGAAAUGCGUAGAUAUUAGAAGGAACAUCGGUGGCGAAGGCGGCUUACUGGGCUUUUACUGACGCUGAGGCUCGAAAGCGUGGGGAGCAAACAGGAUUAGAUACCCUGGUAGUC
RNAcentral lists this ribosomal RNA (440 nucleotides) under uncultured bacterium. RNAcentral's name for it is "partial 16S ribosomal RNA". It matches the Rfam family "Bacterial small subunit ribosomal RNA", at positions 338 to 795 of the family's 1533-position model. The record is from RNAcentral.